Molecule: ribosomal RNA, 492 nt
Filed under: uncultured bacterium
Lineage: Bacteria
Description: partial 16S ribosomal RNA
Rfam family: Bacterial small subunit ribosomal RNA
Source: RNAcentral
AGUGAACGCUGGCGGUAGGCCUAACACAUGCAAGUCGAACGACAGCACAGUAAGAGCUUGCUCUUACGGGUGGCGAGUGGCGGACGGGUGAGGAAUACAUCGGAAUCUACUUUUUCGUGGGGGAUAACGUAGGGAAACUUACGCUGAUACCGCGUACGACCUACGGGUGAAAGCAGGGGAUCUUCGGACCUUGCGCGAUUGAAUGAGCCGAUGUCGGAUUAGCUAGUUGGCGGGGUAAAGGCCCACCAAGGCGACGAUCCGUAGCUGGUCUGAGAGGAUGAUCAGCCACACUGGAACUGAGACACGGUCCAGACUCCUACGGGAGGCAGCAGUGGGGAAUAUUGGACAAUGGGCGCAAGCCUGAUCCAGCCAUACCGCGUGGGUGAAGAAGGCCUUCGGGUUGUAAAGCCCUUUUGUUGGGAAAGAAAAGCAGCAGGUUAAUACCCCGCUGUUCUGACGGUACCCAAAGAAUAAGCACCGGCUAACUUCGUG